CCUACGGGUGGCAGCAGUGAGGAAUAUUGGUCAAUGGGCGCGAGCCUGAACCAGCCAAGUCGCGUGAAGGAUGACUGCCCUACGGGUUGUCAACUUCUUUUAUAAAGGAAUAAAGUGCGGCACGUGUGCCUUUUUGUAUGUACUUUAUGAAUAAGGAUCGGCUAACUCCGUGCCAGCAGCCGCGGUAAUACGGAGGAUCCAAGCGUUAUCCGGAUUUAUUGGGUUUAAAGGGUGCGUAGAUGGUUUGUUAAGUCAGUUGUGAAAUUUUGCGGCUCAACCGUAAAAUUGCAAUUGAUACUGGCAGUCUUGAGUACAGUUGAGGUAGGCGGAAUGCGUGGUGUAGCGGUGAAAUGCUUAGAUAUCACGAAGAACUCCGAUUGCGAAGGCAGCUUACUAAACUGCCACUGACAUUGAUGCUCGAAAGUGUGGGUAUCAAACAGGAUUAGAUACCCGGGUAGUC
Molecule: ribosomal RNA, 460 nt
Filed under: uncultured bacterium
Lineage: Bacteria
Description: partial 16S ribosomal RNA
Rfam family: Bacterial small subunit ribosomal RNA
Source: RNAcentral